Molecule: long non-coding RNA, 2982 nt
Organism: Brienomyrus brachyistius
Lineage: Eukaryota; Metazoa; Chordata; Actinopteri; Osteoglossiformes; Mormyridae
Exons: 3
Source: RefSeq, a predicted model, not a curated record
AAAACAAAGCACUUCUGUUUUUAAUGACAUUUUAUGUGUUUCUGUUCUAUUUUUAAUUUACAGUUUAAUGAGUCUUUGGAGCUGGUUGUGUUGCUUUGGGGUUGGGGACAAUGAGGACAGCAGGAAGAAGCAUGUUACCGAGUCACUCCGUCGAUUAUUUUCUCUUUUUGCGGGGAUCACUUUUUGGUUACGGGUGACGGUCACCGUUACGUCGCCCCAUUGCCCCCUGACAGCACCACUAUGCUCCCAUUUCCUCUCGUUUUCGUUUAGGAAAUUGACCUUGGCUGGUUCUCCGUCUGAUGUUAUAUUUUAUACACUUAGGGGGCGGUGACGUCAGGCGGGUUUCGGGUUCGGGUUCGGGUUUCGGGGUCGGCGACGGGCGCAGCCGAGCGCAAAGGCGGACUGACAGUCGGGCGGGUUUAUUCUCCCCGGCGCGGACGCCUGUGCGCACUUCGGGAGCGGCUUCCGAGGGGAUCUGCAGAGCUCUGAUGCCUGGCAGCUGGGUAGUCGACUCACGCACGCCGCUGUCCUCCAGUUCACCCAAGACUGUCAUCAUGACUCUGUGUGAAGCUGCUUUCGUCUGUCCCAGAUGACUCUGUGUGAAGCUGCUUUCGUCUGUCCCAGAUGACUCUGUGUGAAGCUGCUUUUGUUGCUUUUUUUCAUCUCAAGAUGGCUUCUGUUAACAGGGAAUACCGUCAGCGGGAGCUGAUAUGCCAUCUCCGGGGAGGGGGGGGAUGCGUGUUCCCCCUUCCUGUACGCCGCCAUGCCUGUCCCCUGGUCUAUGUGACAGCGUGUGUCCCAUGUCCCUGGGUCCCUGUUAUGUGAAUUAUUAUUGAACUUUUUCUUUAAAUUUUUUUGCGCUUAAUUCCUUGUGCUCUUAUUAAUGCCCUUUGUUACUGCUCCAGUGCUCCAGUCAUCGUUUAUCACUUCUGCUGCUGGGUACUAGCAUCACAGAAGCAGAAUAUUUGUGCCCCCCCCUCCCCCGUCCUUUUGCCAAGCAAUGGCUGGGGCCUCAGGGUCACCAUCGCCUCGGCAGCUUCGGCAAUGUUUGGUCUCUCCUCUGGGGGGGGGCGACACAAAACUUGCGUUCAGCUGUGCUUCGUCUAGACAAAGAUUCAGUAAUGAAACUAGGGGCUCCAUAGCACAGGAGCAUAAGCAGUUCUGUGGCUUUCUGGGGCCGUAAGAUUGCAGAAGAGAGGGAAUUAAUGAUGCUUUUGGAGAAAGCGAUGUUUGGAUGUUCCCGCUAAAGGCCAUUCUGCUCGUAGUACCCUGGCCAACUGUUAGCCUGACAGAAUCUUAAACAGCUUCUGGAUCUGCUGGCGGGAGUCGUUUUGCUUGCUUGUUUGUUCGGCUUUGUAAAUUCAUUCGUGUUUGUUUGCUAAAAAUAAAAAAGGAUGAAUAAUCUGGCAGCAGCUAUUCAAAGUGCUCUGGAAAAAAUCUGCAAUCACUCAUGAAUUUUUCCAGUUAUAGAUGCACUCUCUAACCUUCGUGAAAUAUGAGUAAUUAUUUUGGUUUGCUUGCUCUCUUUAUGACAGAAUGUCACGCCGGAUUGCAAUUGGCAUCUCUGUUGUGAGCCCUGGAAAGAGAAUAAGAUCUUCAUAUGCUGCUGCCUUUAGUUGUGCCAUGGUCCCGUUCCUUGUUUUGAUAGGACAGAGGUGUGUCUGCCCCCUACUUACCAACAAAAAUACCAGGUCAAUGACUAAUCCCUGUGACAGCACCAGCAGAUAUCGCCCUUAUCUGAUCCUAAAAACUACGUUUGAUUUGUUUUUGUCUUUUAUCUUUCUCCUUGGCCUCCUUGGACUGGAGACGACCUUGACUGCUGUCUGAAAUGCAGACUUGGUUGUACACCAUCCAUCUAAGCUCUUAUUGCGGACGGGGUCUGGAGCCUGUCCCAGGCAGUGCAGGGUACUAGGUUGGGCUAAACCCUAGAUGAGAUGCCAGUGAGAGGAACCCGGACUCCAUGCAAGAAGCUUUGGAAUGGAGGAACUCGGCCUGGAGACUAGGCAGCUUUCCUGCUUACGUGCCUUGUUCCAGUUUAACAGUACUUACAGUCUUGAUGGCAAUUAACUGGUUCUUUUCUAGGCUUUAUUUUAUUUUCAUUGCCAUCUCUUUGUACUUUGUACUGUCCUUACCCUCUUCAUACAGCAGAGUGUUGCGCUGCCUAGGUCUCCUUGACCCCUCUGCUGUUACCAAGAGGAGAAAAUUGUCUCACCAGUUUUUGAGGAGAGAAGCCUGUAACCAAGACCCUAGUUCAGGACUCGGUGCAGGAGCUUCAAACUCCAGAUUAUAAUGCACAGCAAUCUAAUAUAGUUAAUCAUUUGUUUAUUAAUCCCUAAGUUUUUAUAGGAUUGAAUUGAAAAUGCUUAAAAGGAUUUACAGUAUUCAUGUAUGUUAAAUCCCCUCCAUUUGUUUUAUAUUUAAUGUCCAUGUAGGUGUGGACUGGCCAUUGAAGUCUUUUGCCGGCCGGUCUCUUUCCAAAUCCCCGGCACAAUAUAGCUCCGCAUGAAGGCCGGUUCGCUGUGUUCCCGUCAUCUUGCUCGAUGUCAUGCAUCUUCACACUGAACACCGGCGCAAAGAAGACCCCUUUCAGUAGGGCUCUGGUUGUCUCAACCGCCAAGUGGGCUUCCUACCCUGAAAACCUGCUAAAGGCAUCACCAGACAGCAUCCACAUAGCUGGCCCUCACAGCUGCGGCGUCUGCAGUCUGGACGUCUGCUGAGCGCAGUUUGAUCAGCCUUGAUACUGGAAUUCAUAUAGGAGUGUUGUUGAGUUCCCAUGCACUGCCUGGUUUUCCAUUUAUUCAGCCAUAGCUGUUUUCAUUCUAGGAGCACUAAGACGUAGUCCUGAGCCGGGGAGAGGAGUUGGCAUCACUGUUCUUUUGGACCCCAAUAGAAAGUGAUUUCUUUGACAUGAUGAGGAGGACACUGGUAGAGCAGAAGAGGUGGUGGCAGGUUAGGCUCAUGUCAUCCAGCAGGGGUCGCUCU